GCACGGGAGCAAUCCUGGUGGCGAGUGGCGAACGGGUGAGUAAUAUAUCGGAACGUGCCCAGUCGUGGGGGAUAACGCAGCGAAAGCUGUGCUAAUACCGCAUACGAUCUCUGGAUGAAAGCGGGGGACUCGCAAGGGCCUCGCGCGAUUGGAGCGGCCGAUAUCAGAUUAGCUAGUUGGCGGGGUAAAAGCCCACCAAGGCGACGAUCUGUAGCUGGUCUGAGAGGACGACCAGCCACACUGGAACUGAGACACGGUCCAGACUCCUACGGGAGGCAGCAGUGGGGAAUUUUGGACAAUGGGCGAAAGCCUGAUCCAGCAAUGCCGCGUGCAGGAUGAAGGCCUUCGGGUUGUAAACUGCUUUUGUACGGAACGAAACGGUCUGCCCUAAUACGGUGGGCUAAUGACGGUACCGUAAGAAUAAGCACCGGCUAACUACGUGCCAGCAGCCGCGGUAAUACGUAGGGUGCGAGCGUUAAUCGGAAUUACUGGGCGUAAAGCGUGCGCAGGCGGUUAUAUAAGACAGAUGUGAAAUCCCCGGGCUCAACCUGGGACCUGCAUUUGUGACUGUAUAGCUAGAGUACGGUAGAGGGGGAUGGAAUUCCGCGU
Molecule: ribosomal RNA, 609 nt
Filed under: Rhodoferax sp.
Lineage: Bacteria; Pseudomonadati; Pseudomonadota; Betaproteobacteria; Burkholderiales; Comamonadaceae
Description: bacterial SSU rRNA
Rfam family: Bacterial small subunit ribosomal RNA
Source: RNAcentral